CCCCGGUAAACGGCGGCCGUAACUAUAACGGUCCUAAGGUAGCGAAAUUCCUUGUCGGGUAAGUUCCGACCUGCACGAAUGGCGUAAUGAUGGCCAGGCUGUCUCCACCCGAGACUCAGUGAAAUUGAACUCGCUGUGAAGAUGCAGUGUACCCGCGGCAAGACGGAAAGACCCCGUGAACCUUUACUAUAGCUUGACACUGAACAUUGAGCCUUGAUGUGUAGGAUAGGUGGGAGGCUUUGAAGUGUGGACGCCAGUCUGCAUGGAGCCGACCUUGAAAUACCACCCUUUAAUGUUUGAUGUUCUAACGUGGACCCGUAAUCCGGGUUGCGGACAGUGUCUGGUGGGUAGUUUGACUGGGGCGGUCUCCUCCUAAAGAGUAACGGAGGAGCACGAAGGUUGGCUAAUCCUGGUCGGACAUCAGGAGGUUAGUGCAAUGGCAUAAGCCAGCUUGACUGCGAGCGUGACGGCGCGAGCAGGUGCGAAAGCAGGUCAUAGUGAUCCGGUGGUUCUGAAUGGAAGGGCCAUCGCUCAACGGAUAAAAGGUACUCCGGGGAUAACAGGCUGAUACCGCCCAAGAGUUCAUAUCGACGGCGGUGUUUGGCACCUCGAUGUCGGCUCAUCACAUCCUGGGGCUGAAGUAGGUCCCAAGGGUAUGGCUGUUCGCCAUUUAAAGUGGUACGCGAGCUGGGUUUAGAACGUCGUGAGACAGUUCGGUCCCUAUCUGCCGUGGGCGCUGGAGAACUGAGGGGGGCUGCUCCUAGUACGAGAGGACCGGAGUGGACGCAUCACUGGUGUUCGGGUUGUCAUGCCAAUGGCACUGCCCGGUAGCUAAAUGCGGAAGAGAUAAGUGCUGAAAGCAUCUAAGCACGAAACUUGCCCCGAGAUGAGUUCUCCCUGAGACUUAGAGUCUCCUGAAGGAACGUUGAAGACGACGACGUUGA
This 944-nucleotide ribosomal RNA is filed under the name Salmonella enterica. RNAcentral's name for it is "partial 23S ribosomal RNA". It matches the Rfam family "Bacterial large subunit ribosomal RNA", at positions 1918 to 2856 of the family's 2925-position model. The record is from RNAcentral. RNAcentral also lists the same sequence under 3 other names. Lineage: Bacteria; Pseudomonadati; Pseudomonadota; Gammaproteobacteria; Enterobacterales; Enterobacteriaceae.